Molecule: ribosomal RNA, 757 nt
Filed under: Escherichia coli
Lineage: Bacteria; Pseudomonadati; Pseudomonadota; Gammaproteobacteria; Enterobacterales; Enterobacteriaceae
Also listed under: 1 other name
Description: partial 23S ribosomal RNA
Rfam family: Bacterial large subunit ribosomal RNA
Source: RNAcentral
UCCUGACUGACCGAUAGUGAACCAGUACCGUGAGGGAAAGGCGAAAAGAACCCCGGCGAGGGGAGUGAAAAAGAACCUGAAACCGUGUACGUACAAGCAGUGGGAGCACGCUUAGGCGUGUGACUGCGUACCUUUUGUAUAAUGGGUCAGCGACUUAUAUUCUGUAGCAAGGUUAACCGAAUAGGGGAGCCGAAGGGAAACCGAGUCUUAACUGGGCGUUAAGUUGCAGGGUAUAGACCCGAAACCCGGUGAUCUAGCCAUGGGCAGGUUGAAGGUUGGGUAACACUAACUGGAGGACCGAACCGACUAAUGUUGAAAAAUUAGCGGAUGACUUGUGGCUGGGGGUGAAAGGCCAAUCAAACCGGGAGAUAGCUGGUUCUCCCCGAAAGCUAUUUAGGUAGCGCCUCGUGAAUUCAUCUCCGGGGGUAGAGCACUGUUUCGGCAAGGGGGUCAUCCCGACUUACCAACCCGAUGCAAACUGCGAAUACCGGAGAAUGUUAUCACGGGAGACACACGGCGGGUGCUAACGUCCGUCGUGAAGAGGGAAACAACCCAGACCGCCAGCUAAGGUCCCAAAGUCAUGGUUAAGUGGGAAACGAUGUGGGAAGGCCCAGACAGCCAGGAUGUUGGCUUAGAAGCAGCCAUCAUUUAAAGAAAGCGUAAUAGCUCACUGGUCGAGUCGGCCUGCGCGGAAGAUGUAACGGGGCUAAACCAUGCACCGAAGCUGCGGCAGCGACGCUUAUGCGUUGUUGGGUAG